Non-coding RNA from Harpegnathos saltator (Jerdon's jumping ant), 73 nucleotides. Lineage: Eukaryota; Metazoa; Arthropoda; Insecta; Hymenoptera; Formicidae. The record is from Rfam.
CGUCAGAUAGCUCAGUGGUCUAGAGCAGCCGCCCGGCAAGCGAAAGACCCGGGUUCGAUUCCCGGUCUAGCGA